AACGUAGGUACCGAGCGUUAUCCGGAUUUACUGGGCGUAAAGCGCGUUCAGGCGGUCUGGCAAGUCGGGCAUGAAAUCUCUCGGCUCAACCGGGAGAGGCUGUUCGAUACUUCCAGACUUGAGGGCAGUAGAGGAGGGUGGAAUUCCGGGUGUAGUGGUGAAAUGCGUAGAUAUCCGGAGGAACACCAGUGGCGAAAGCGGCCCUCUGGGCUGCUCCUGACGCUAAAACGCGAAAGCUAGGGGAGCGAACGGG
RNAcentral lists this ribosomal RNA (253 nucleotides) under uncultured bacterium. RNAcentral describes it as "partial 16S ribosomal RNA". It matches the Rfam family "Bacterial small subunit ribosomal RNA", at positions 524 to 776 of the family's 1533-position model. The record is from RNAcentral.